Molecule: ribosomal RNA, 301 nt
Filed under: uncultured bacterium
Lineage: Bacteria
Description: partial 16S ribosomal RNA
Rfam family: Bacterial small subunit ribosomal RNA
Source: RNAcentral
CAGUAGCCGCGGGAAUACGGAGGGGGCUAGCGUUGUUCGGAAUUACUGGGCGUAAAGCGCACGUAGGUGGCUUGGUAAGUUAGAGGUGAAAGCCUGGAGCUCAACUCCAGAAUUGCCUUUAAGACUGCCGAGCUAGCAGGUGAGAGAGGUAAGUGGAAUUCCGAGUGUAGAGGUGAAAUUCGUAGAUAUUCGGAGGAACACCAGUGGCGAAGGCGGCUCACUGGUCCAUUACUGACGCUGAGGUGCGAAAGCGUGGGGAGCAAACAGGAUUAGAUACCCCCGUAGUCCCUGUCUCUUAUAC